RNAcentral lists this ribosomal RNA (465 nucleotides) under Vreelandella stevensii. Its description in RNAcentral is "partial 16S ribosomal RNA". It matches the Rfam family "Bacterial small subunit ribosomal RNA", at positions 338 to 795 of the family's 1533-position model. The record is from RNAcentral. Lineage: Bacteria; Pseudomonadati; Pseudomonadota; Gammaproteobacteria; Oceanospirillales; Halomonadaceae.
CCUACGGGGGGCAGCAGUGGGGAAUAUUGGACAAUGGGGGCAACCCUGAUCCAGCCAUGCCGCGUGUGUGAAGAAGGCCCUCGGGUUGUAAAGCACUUUCAGUGAGGAAGAACGCCUGGUGGUUAAUACCCAUCAGGAAAGACAUCACUCACAGAACAAGCACCGGCUAACUCCGUGCCAGCAGCCGCGGUAAUACGGAGGGUGCGAGCGUUAAUCGGAAUUACUGGGCGUAAAGCGCGCGUAGGUGGCUUGAUAAGCCGGUUGUGAAAGCCCCGGGCUCAACCUGGGAACGGCAUCCGGAACUGUCAAGCUAGAGUGCAGGAGAGGAAGGUAGAAUUCCCGGUGUAGCGGUGAAAUGCGUAGAGAUCGGGAGGAAUGCCAGUGGCGAAGGCGGCCUUCUGGACUGACACUGACACUGAGGUGCGAAAGCGUGGGUAGCAAACAGGAUUAGAUACCCGAGUAGUC